AAGCCUAGUUACUUUCAAUCUUGCCACUAGAAUGACACCAAGAACAUAACCUAGGAUUUGAUUUUGGCUCCAACACAUGGAAAAACCAAACCAUAGGGCAUGCUAGCAACACUUGCUAAAAAUCUCACCACCCUUCUUGCAACUUUUGCCACUCAAAUUUUCCUUACCUUUUUCUCAAAUUUUUUCCAAAAUUCUUCCUAUGAUUACCACAUCUCUCUCUCUAGUUUC
Molecule: long non-coding RNA, 228 nt
Filed under: Elaeis guineensis (African oil palm)
Lineage: Eukaryota; Viridiplantae; Streptophyta; Magnoliopsida; Arecales; Arecaceae
Description: long non-coding RNA (EGUI_LNC061930)
Source: RNAcentral